CUUCUCUCGCGAAUCGCAUUGCCAUGACAGCCGCAUUCCCACCGAUUGUCGAAUAAGACGAAGGAAACGAACGCGCCUUUGACACCAGUUCGUCGAACAGAGUUCUGUUCGCCAUGUAUCGUCUACAAGAAAAUUGUCGACAAUAACGGAUAUUUCGUACAAGCCACAUCUGGAGCUCGGCUAGGACUUACUCGGCAGCGGCACCAUGGCGAAAAUAAUAGGCGAAGCUCUUCAGUAACUCAAGCUCGGUGUUGAUCUCGUCGAAAUGCUCAGGCCGGCCGACCUCAUCCGAGUAUCUGAGCAGAUGCUUCGCGUCGAUGAACACGUCAGUGCAAACGCCAUAACCUAUCGCGACUUUCGGCCUUCUAGUGAUCACGUGCUUGCUCUCGAGCCUUUCGAGGCCGUGCAGCAAAGUUAGCAGACGCUUUUGCAGCACGUCGUCGGUGUUGCGAUAGUAUAUCGCCACCAGCACGAUCACCACGGUGAAAAACGUGCCGAGACCUAACCCCCUUCUAUACCCCAUUUCUACCGAUACAAACCGCGUUGCGCUGCACACGCGACUGUCGCGCGUUCUCGCGCAGCUUUAUGUACAUUUUCUGAGUAGCUGCGCAGUUUCGCGAUAACUAUAGAUAUUUGAUAAUGACUAGACGAGGUCAACAGUCAUUCGACGUUGACACUCGCGAAGUCAUAUUCGCCAGUCAUUUCGCGCUCUUGUUCAAAAGUCGAAUCCAAUUAAUGCACAGCAUUUAUGUAAAAGAAGAAACUGCUUUUAUUGCAUAUGUUUCUCAUAUAUUGCAGCGGUGAACUUACAUAUGUACUCGGAGCUUAUCGAGCUUACAAAGUGUACUGCUUUGCUAUCGUCAAGAUUUACUCGAAAGCUUUGAUUAUUAAUUUAUUGAGCAAUAAGUAUGAACAUGUUAUGACCAAAUAUUGUCCCUACACAGCAGAGAUAUCCAAAAUAUAUCAUAAAGACCUAAAGAUAUAUUUGGGAUAUGUGAUAUCUUCAAGAUAUCCUUAUGAUGUAUUUGGGACAUUCCUGCUGUGUGGGUCUCUUAGUUUAGUGUCCUUCCUUUAAAUACUUAUUUUAAAGACAGGACAGAUUUCAGUACAUUUACUUAAAAAAAAAAAAGCAAUUCAUUAUAUUAU
Long non-coding RNA from Odontomachus brunneus, 1146 nucleotides. RefSeq lists it as uncharacterized. NCBI's taxonomy places the organism in Eukaryota, Metazoa, Arthropoda, Insecta, Hymenoptera, Formicidae. The record is from RefSeq and is a predicted model, not a curated record. The transcript is spliced from 2 exons.